This is a long non-coding RNA of Gallus gallus (chicken), 3218 nucleotides long. The record is from Ensembl. Lineage: Eukaryota; Metazoa; Chordata; Aves; Galliformes; Phasianidae.
AACAUGAAAUUGAGACAAGAAGCUCAAAAGAAGCUCAAAUCUCACCUUCCUUUAUCAAGAUGGUAAACAAUAUCAAAUACUAAAAAUGCCUUUAAAGGAUGUAUUUUAUAACACCUGUACUGGGACUUGUAAGACCAACACAGGUUUUCUCAGAGGUCAAGAUGGCACAACACCAAGCGCAUCGAACGUCUUCAUUCCUCUCACUUUCCAGAUUUAGAAGAGUCCACCCUGGAUACCUCAAAUACCACCUGCAUUUUGAACUACCCACAGAAAAACAGAGAUUAUCAGCAAUGUAGACUUUCUUCUACAACUGCUCUUGCUCAGACUGUUUCUUAGACCAGUUAGGAACUAAUUUUAAAAUACUGUUUUAAAUACAAAUACAUCAAAGAAUGGAAAAAAAAAAAAAAAGCAAUACAGCUUAUAUUAUAUUUCUAAUGAUCCCAUGAUAUUUUUUAUGACAUCUUCUCAAGUUUUGAUUACACAAGGGGAAUGGCCUGGAGAGUAAGCUGAAUCACUGGUAAGUUGGAAUAGCAUCUCAUCUGUCCAAAGGACACUGUUAACUUGUGUUUGAAUUUUAAGUGCCUCCUGAAGUAAUCCUGAUGCAAUGCAAGUGCUUAGCUCCCUGUCUGGCCUGUGGAGGGAUCCUUUGGAUGGUUUCACUGCAAAUCCUACCAGUCUUUGUUACCUAUGUUAAGAAGACUAGACACUACCAUGGAGUCUCACAGUGGGCUGAAACCAGUUCUUGGGCUUGUCUGGGACUUUGCUGAGCAUCAGCAAAAUGAGUCCUUUAAUGAGUAAUAGAUAACAACACACAAUGGAAAACAAAACAAAAUCAAAAAAGAACAGAGCUCCACUUUUGUUGAUAAAGGAUAUUUCUUCUCUUUUAUCCCUCACUGGAAUGGUCACCUCCCUUGCUGUGUUGGGUUGUUCAGAGAACUGUUAGCUGAGAAUUGAACUCAGCUAAAAGCUUACAGUUUGUAGGGCUCGGAGGAGGCCAUCCUUCAGAAGCUGAAGUUAGGGAGAUGAAGUCUAAGGAGGCCAAGAAGCAUCCCCCUUCGUUAAUUAACACUGUGUCUGUCCCUCCAAAAUAAGCACUGCAUAUAAACACACCUGGUUAAGUUAUGCAGCUCUCAGCUAUGCACUUCCUCAUGCUUCUCACCUUCUGGUCUUGUCUUGACUUCUGAGAAGACUGAAUGAGUGGGGUCUCACCUUGAUUUCAGCAAGAGGAGAAAGGACAAUGAGGUCUGAGUAAGUCACACUUUCAGAAAGCAUGUGAAGUUGCUCAAAAGGAUGCACUGGCUACCUACAGGUUUACAGAUUCCAGCUGCAGCUUCCAAAGUGGCUAGGUUCCACUUCUGCACAUUGGGUAUCAUGGCUACUCCUUCAAGGCACUAAUCACAGAGGCUACAUCAGAUGCAUGACUCAGUGAUAGACUUGAUUGAAGAACUGGAUCACUUCACUGACGGGGUGUCUCUUCAGCCUGCUGGCCUCCAAGAACUAUAUGUUUUUCCUGCUUUCUGCUGCCAAUGGCACACAGAGCCAAGUAUUGGUUGAGCAAGGGGUAAACAAGUUAAUGAGAAUAUUAGGCCAUGUGUAAUGUGGAAAAUUGUUUCGGAACUUAAUGACCUCCAUUGUUUAAAAAGACAUACCUUUUCAGGAAAACAAAAUAAAGCAGUCAAGUUGGUUUUAUGAGAUCUACUUUUACAUCACUGGAUUGAGGAUUUCUGAAAAACAGACAGAAAAUGUCUUGGUCUGUUCACUAGAAUCUUCGGCUGUAUAUAUUUUCCAAAAGGAGAAAGUGUGGAAUAGUUUUCUAUGAACAUUCUUAGAAUAAAUAAUGUGAAUGUUUACUCAGUGCUUUCUGGAUGGAGAGAGGGAUUGCUUUUCUCUGUUAAUGUACUCUGAGGACAAACCUAGGAAAUGUGCAGAAUGUGCUCAGAUGCUGUGAUGGGCUUUUAUCCUCAUGCAGGUAGAAAGCUCAUGGCCUGGAUCCCCAAGGGACUGACGUGUCUGCUGUUGUCCUGAAUGACUGCUGGUUUUGACUUUGGAAAAUUUUUAAUUAAUUCUGUAUAACAGCUGAACAGUGGCAAGUGAGUUGUAAACUUCCCACCAUGAGUUUCCAAGAAAAAAGAUAGAAAAUCAAGACUAAAGCAAGGGGCACACAGCUUUUGAAGCAGAGCAGCACCAGGGAAGGGAUCAAAUAUAAAAAACAGGUAUGAAAAUAAAGAUCUUUCCAUCAGUUGUUUCUGGAAAAUUAAAGUGAAGAAGACAGCAGGAAUGAGGGCAUACAACCAAGGAUGCAUGAGAAUGAUAGAUGAAGCUAUUGUCAGUGGCUUGGAAAGAGGAAGGAAAAACAAAUGGGAGGCAGAAAUCAAGAGGGAAAUAAGAAAGAGUGUUAUGAAGUGCUGUCAGAGUGGGUAGCAAAGCGACAUGACAAUAUCCUUUUUAUUAGCAGUUUAUUGAGGAAGUAUAAGUAAAUGUUUAAGACAUUCUUGGAAGGAUAACUUACGGAGUAUUAAAUUUGAUUUAGUGAUGUCGACAUCAGAGCCUUUGCCAUGUACAUAAAGCCAGAGAGAAGAGGGAAUUCCAUAUGGUCAGGGGUGCCAGAGAAGCUUCAAUACCUGGGAAAGCCCAAGCAAAUUAUUCUUCUGUAUAGGAAUAAUGAGUGAAGAAUAGAUGUGAGGAAUAUGGGAAAACAAACAAACAAACAAAAAACAGCAACUAGAUAUAAGGAAGUUAGCAGAAACAGAGAUCAAAGUGAAAGCAAAGGAGACCAUAGACCGGUGAAUUCAGUAGUUCAAGAGAACAAAAAAGUCCUAAAGAGAAGAUAAUGUCAGGAUUAAUUCCGCAUUCUGAACCCAAAAGGGAUGCUGGAGAGGUACUGUGAUGUCUGAUGCAGUAGGAGAAGGCAAGUUAACGCAUCUGGGCCAAAAUAACAACUGAAGCUGACUGAGCUGAAGAGUCAAUUGAGUCUGUAAAUGUUCAUUUCUCUUUUUACACUUCCCACUUUAGUAUAUUUUCAGCUAAUGUUUCAUUAUAAUUUCCACAAACAUUUCAUGUCACAAAAUCAUUACAAUGUAGACUGCACUCUGAACAGCUGUAAAAUAGCCUUGCCAAUGCUGGUAAUUUGCACUGGGAAUGUAAUAUCCAAUUCCAAUCACUGAUGAGUGCUAUGCAAAAUGAACUAACCAGCAUUUUUCAUUUCUGUAACAACUUAC